GAUGAACGCUGGCGGCGUGCCUAAUACAUGCAAGUCGAGCGAACGGACGAGAAGCUUGCUUCUCUGAUGUUAGCGGCGGACGGGUGAGUAACACGUGGAUAACCUACCUAUAAGACUGGGAUAACUUCGGGAAACCGUAGCUAAUACCGGAUAAUAUUUUGAACCGCAUGGUUCAAAAGUGAAAGACGGUCUUGCUGUCACUUAUAGAUGGAUCCGCGCUGCAUUAGCUAGUUGGUAAGGUAACGGCUUAUCAAGGCAACGAUGCAUAGCCGACCUGAGAGGGUGAUCGGCCACACUGGAACUGAGACACGGUCCAGACUCCUACGGGAGGCAGCAGUAGGGAAUCCUCCGCAAUGGGCGAAAGCCUGACGGAGCAACGCCGCGUGAGUGAUGAAGGUCUUCGGAUCGUAAAACUCUGUUAUUAGGGAAGAACAUAUGUGUAAGUAACUGUGCACAUCUUGACGGUACCUAAUCAGAAAGCCACGGCUAACUACGUG
RNAcentral lists this ribosomal RNA (497 nucleotides) under uncultured bacterium. RNAcentral's name for it is "partial 16S ribosomal RNA". It matches the Rfam family "Bacterial small subunit ribosomal RNA", at positions 28 to 507 of the family's 1533-position model. The record is from RNAcentral.